CCUACGGGAGGCAGCACUGGGGUUCUUGCGAAUGGGCGAAAGCGUGAUGCAGCCAUGCCGCGUGUGUGAAGAAGGCCUUCGGAUUGUAAAGUACUUUCAGCUGGGAGGAGGGUGGUGAGGUGAAUAACCUCAUCGACUGACGGUACCUUCAGAAGAAGCCCCGGCUAACUCCGUGCCAGCAGCCGCGGUAAU
RNAcentral lists this ribosomal RNA (192 nucleotides) under uncultured Enterobacteriaceae bacterium. RNAcentral's name for it is "partial 16S ribosomal RNA". It matches the Rfam family "Bacterial small subunit ribosomal RNA", at positions 338 to 524 of the family's 1533-position model. The record is from RNAcentral. Lineage: Bacteria; Pseudomonadati; Pseudomonadota; Gammaproteobacteria; Enterobacterales; Enterobacteriaceae. RNAcentral also lists the same sequence under 1 other name.